UACGUAGGGUGCAAGCGUUGUCCGGAAUUAUUGGGCGUAAAGAGCUCGUAGGCGGUUUGUCGCGUCUGCUGUGAAAACCCGGGGCUCAACCCCGGGCCUGCAUUCGAUACGGGCAGACUAGAGUUCGGUAGGGGAGUCUGGAAUUCCUGGUGUAGCGGUGAAAUGCGCAGAUAUCAGGAGGAACACCGGUGGCGAAGGCGGGACUCUGGGCCGAUACUGACGCUGAGGAGCGAAAGCGUGGGGAGCAAACAGG
This 253-nucleotide ribosomal RNA is filed under the name uncultured bacterium. RNAcentral describes it as "partial 16S ribosomal RNA". It matches the Rfam family "Bacterial small subunit ribosomal RNA", at positions 524 to 776 of the family's 1533-position model. The record is from RNAcentral.